ACGGGUGAGUAAUACAUCGGAACGUGCCCAAUCGUGGGGGAUAACGCAGCGAAAGCUGUGCUAAUACCGCAUACGAUCUACGGAUGAAAGCAGGGGAUCGCAAGACCUUGCGCGAAUGGAGCGGCCGAUGGCAGAUUAGGUAGUUGGUGAGGUAAAGGCUCACCAAGCCUUCGAUCUGUAGCUGGUCUGAGAGGACGACCAGCCACACUGGGACUGAGACACGGCCCAGACUCCUACGGGAGGCAGCAGUGGGGAAUUUUGGACAAUGGGCGAAAGCCUGAUCCAGCCAUGCCGCGUGCAGGAUGAAGGCCUUCGGGUUGUAAACUGCUUUUGUACGGAACGAAACGGCCUUUUCUAAUAAAGAGGGCUAAUGACGGUACCGUAAGAAUAAGCACCGGCUAACUACGUGCCAGCAGCCGCGGUAAUACGUAGGGUGCAAGCGUUAAUCGGAAUUACUGGGCGUAAAGCGUGCGCAGGCGGUUAUGUAAGACAGUUGUGAAAUCCCCGGGCUCAACCUGGGAACUGCAUCUGUGACUGCAUAGCUAGAGUACGGUAGAGGGGGAUGGAAUUCCGCGU
Molecule: ribosomal RNA, 576 nt
Filed under: uncultured bacterium
Lineage: Bacteria
Description: bacterial SSU rRNA
Rfam family: Bacterial small subunit ribosomal RNA
Source: RNAcentral